RNAcentral lists this ribosomal RNA (391 nucleotides) under uncultured bacterium. Its description in RNAcentral is "bacterial SSU rRNA". It matches the Rfam family "Bacterial small subunit ribosomal RNA", at positions 29 to 420 of the family's 1533-position model. The record is from RNAcentral.
AUUGAACGCUGGCGGCAUGCCUAACACAUGCAAGUCGAACGGUAACAGGCCCUUCGGGUGCUGACGAGUGGCGGAUGGGUGAGUAAUACUUAGGAAUCUACCCUGUAGUGGGGGACAACCCGGGGAAACUCGGGCUAAUACCGCAUACGCUCUACGGAGGAAAGCGGGGGACCGCAAGGCCGUCGCGCUAUUGGAUGAGCCUAAGCCCGAUUAGCUAGUUGGUGGGGUAAUAGCCACCCAAGGCAAUGAUCGGUAGCUGGUCUGAGAGGGCGACCGGCCACACUGGGACUGAGACACGGCCCAGACUCCUACCGGGAGGCAGCAGUGGGGAAUCUUGCGCAAUGGGCGAAAGCCUGACGCAGCGACGCCGCGUGAGGGAUGACGGCCUCGG